UACGGAGGGUGCGAGCGUUGUUCGGAAUCACUGGGCGUAAAGGGCGUGUAGGCGGUCUGUUAAGUCUGAUGUGAAAGCCCGGGGCUCACCCCCGGAAGUGCAUUGGAUACUGGCGGACUCGAGUCCCGGAGAGGAGGGUGGAAUUCCUGGUGUAGCGGUGAAAUGCGUAGAUAUCAGGAGGAACACCGGUGGCGAAGGCGGCCCUCUGGACGGUGACUGACGCUGAGACGCGAAAGCGUGGGGAG
Molecule: ribosomal RNA, 245 nt
Filed under: uncultured bacterium
Lineage: Bacteria
Description: partial 16S ribosomal RNA
Rfam family: Bacterial small subunit ribosomal RNA
Source: RNAcentral